GUUUUCGGUGGAUUAUCCAAAUGAUAACAUCGUGGCCGUUGGUGGAAGCUACGAUCAUAUUUUCACAUAUGAUACAACGCUUAUCACAUCGCUAUACUUCACAACCUCCAGGGGUUUUACCUCUCCAUUAUUCGGUGAGAAGACAGGAACAGAUUUCGAGUUCCAAGGUGAAAAUAAAGGAAAGCUUCUCGGGUUCCAUGGACGUGCUGGGCAUGCUAUUGAUGCCAUCGGAGCUUACUUCCACACUGGUUCACAAGGUGGCCAGGGAGCUGGUUCACAAGGUGGCCAGGGAGCUGGUUCACAAGGUGGCCAGGGAGGUGACCCCGGAAAAGGUGGUCCUAGACCUGUUGUCCCCGGAAAGAUGGGACCCUUAGGUGGUGCCAAGGGAAAUGAAUUCGAUGAUGUUGGUUUUGAUGGUGUGAAGAAAGUAACUGUGGGAGCAGAUGAAUUCAGUGUAACUUAUCUCAAGAUCGAAUACAUAAAGGACGGAAAAGUUGAGAUACGUGAACACGGGACUAAUCGCGGGCAACUAAAAGAGGUAUAAAACAUUGUGAUUAUUUUUUUUACGAUAAUAUUCAUUGGGUUUGCUAAUAAAUUGUUUGAUUUUUAUGGAAAAUAAAAUACAGUUCUCGGUGGAUUAUCCAAAUGAUAACAUCGUGGCCGUUGGUGGAAGCUACAAUCAUAUUUUCACAUAUGAUACAACGCUUAUCACAUCGCUAUACUUCACAACCUCCAGGGGUUUUACCUCUCCAUUAUUCGGUGAGAAGAAGGGAACAGAUUUCGAGUUCCAAGGUGAAAAUAGAGGAAAGCUUCUCGGGUUCCAUGGACGUGCUGGCUAUGCUAUUGAUGCCAUCGGAGCUUACUUCCACACCGGUUCACAAGGCGGUGAGGGAGGUGGUCCUAAACCUGUAGUACCCGUAAAGAUGGGACCCCUAGGUGGUGACAGGGGAAACGAAUUCAACGAUGUUGGUUUCGAUGGUGUGAAGAAAGUAGCUGUGGCAGCUGAUGAAUUCAGUGUAAGAUCGAGUACGUAAAGGAUGGAAAAGUUGAAAUCCGUGAGCACGGGACAAGUCGAGGGCAAGUAAAAGAGGUAUUAAUUAAAUAUUUUGGUGACUUCUGUUAAAUAUUGAAUAUUUUUUGCUACAUAUUUAUUUGUUUCUAAUGAAAAACUUACAUACAGUUUUCGGUGGAUCAUCCAAAUGAUAACUUCACGGCCGUUGGUGGAAGCUACGAUCAUAUUUUCACAUAUGAUACAACACUUAUCACAUCAUUAUACCUCACAACCUCAAGAGGAUUUACCUCUCCUUUAUUCGGUGAGAUGAAGGGAACAGAAUUCGAGUUCAAAGGUGAAAAUGGAGAAAAGCUUAUUGGAUUCCAUGGACGUGCUGGUCAUGCUAUUGAUGCUAUUGGGGCCUACUUCGACACUGGUUCUAAACCGGGCUUUCGGUGGAUUAUCCAAAUGAUAACAUCGUGGCCGUUGGUGGAAGCUACGAUCAUAUUUUCACAUAUGAUACAACGCUUAUCAAAUCGCUAUACUUCACAACCUCCAGGGGGUUUACCUCUCCAUUAUUCGGUGAGAAGACAGGAACAGAUUUCGAGUUCCAAGGUGAAAAUAGAGGAAAGCUUCUCGGGUUCCAUGGACGUGCUGGCUAUGCUAUUGAUGCCAUUGGAGCUUACUUCCACACCGGUUCACAAGGCGGUGAGGGAGGUGACCCCAGCAAAGGUGGUCCUAAACCUGUAGUACCCGUAAAGAUGGGACCCCUAGGUGGUGACAGGGGAAACGAAUUCAACGAUGUUGGUUUCGAUGGUGUGAAGAGAGUAGCUGUGGCAGCUGAUGAAUUCAGUGUAACCUACAUCAAGAUCGAAUACGUAAAGGAUGGAAAAGUUGAAAUCCGUGAGCACGGGACAAGUCGAGGGCAAGUAAAAGAG
RNAcentral lists this long non-coding RNA (1929 nucleotides) under Brassica napus (rape). RNAcentral's name for it is "long non-coding RNA (BNAP_LNC024386)". Lineage: Eukaryota; Viridiplantae; Streptophyta; Magnoliopsida; Brassicales; Brassicaceae. The record is from RNAcentral.